RNAcentral lists this transfer RNA (73 nucleotides) under Babesia microti strain RI. It matches the Rfam family "tRNA". Rfam says of the family: Transfer RNA (tRNA) molecules are approximately 80 nucleotides in length. Lineage: Eukaryota; Apicomplexa; Aconoidasida; Piroplasmida; Babesiidae. The record is from Rfam by way of RNAcentral.
GCACCAGUGGCGCAAUGGAUAGCGCAUUGCCCUCCUAAGGCAGGGGUUGUGGGUUCGAGUCCCAUCUGGUGUG